This 87-nucleotide transfer RNA is filed under the name Fusobacteriota bacterium. Its description in RNAcentral is "Fusobacteria bacterium (anaerobic digester metagenome) tRNA-Ser". It matches the Rfam family "tRNA". From Rfam's summary of the family: Transfer RNA (tRNA) molecules are approximately 80 nucleotides in length. Their secondary structure includes four short double-helical elements and three loops (D, anti-codon, and T loops). Lineage: Bacteria; Fusobacteriati; Fusobacteriota. The record is from RNAcentral.
GGAAGAGUGUCCGAACGGCUAAGGGGCCGGUCUUGAAAACCGGUGAAACCGAAAGGUGUCUGGGUUCGAAUCCCAGCUCUUCCGCCA